UGGGGAAUAUUGCACAAUGGGCGCAAGCCUGAUGCAGCCAUGCCGCGUGUAUGAAGAAGGCCUUCGGGUUGUAAAGUACUUUCAGCGGGGAGGAAGGGAGUAAAGUUAAUACCUUUGCUCAUUGACGUUACCCGCAGAAGAAGCACCGGCUAACUCCGUGCCAGCAGCCGCGGCAAUACGGAGGGUGCAAGCGUUAAUCGGAAUUACUGGGCGUAAAGCGCACGCAGGCGGUUCGUUAAGUCAGAUGUGAAAUCCCCGGGCUCAACCUGGGAACUGCAUCUGAUACUGGCAAGCUUGAGUCUCGUAGAGGGGGGUAGAAUUCCAGGUGUAGCGGUGAAAUGCGUAGAGAUCUGGAGGAAUACCGGUGGCGAAGGCGGCCCCCUGGACGAAGACUGACGCUCAGGUGCGAAAGCGUGGGGAGCAAACAGGAUUAGAUACCCUGGUAGUCCACGCCGUAAACGAUGUCGACUUGGAGGUUGUGCCCUUGAGGCGUGGCUUCCGGAGCUAACGCGUUAAGUCGACCGCCUGGGGAGUACGGCCGCAAGGUUA
This 549-nucleotide ribosomal RNA is filed under the name uncultured bacterium. RNAcentral describes it as "bacterial SSU rRNA". It matches the Rfam family "Bacterial small subunit ribosomal RNA", at positions 355 to 896 of the family's 1533-position model. The record is from RNAcentral.